AUAGUUACCUGGCAGGGGGAAUACCAUGAUCAAGAAGAUGGAUUCCCCAGGAUGAGGCUCUUCUACUGCACAUUUCGGUUGAGUUGACUCUUGCGAUUUCCCCAAAUGUGGGAACUCAACUGCAAAAUUUAUGGUAGUGGGGGGCUGCAUUUGCUUAGUCCCCUA
This is a small nuclear RNA of Protopterus annectens (West African lungfish), 165 nucleotides long. RefSeq annotates it as U1 spliceosomal RNA. The transcript has a single exon. Lineage: Eukaryota; Metazoa; Chordata; Ceratodontiformes; Protopteridae. The record is from RefSeq and is a predicted model, not a curated record.